Molecule: ribosomal RNA, 377 nt
Filed under: uncultured bacterium
Lineage: Bacteria
Description: bacterial SSU rRNA
Rfam family: Bacterial small subunit ribosomal RNA
Source: RNAcentral
UAAUACGUAGGGUCCGAGCGUUGUCCGGAGUUACUGGGCGUAAAGCGCGCGCAGGCGGCGGCGUGGGUCCGGCGUGAAAGCCCCCGGCUUAACCGGGGAGGGUCGUCGGGGACCGCGCCGCUUGAGGUCGGUAGGGGCCGGUGGAAUGCCCGGUGUAGUGGUGAAAUGCGUAGAGAUCGGGCAGAACACCCGUGGCGAAGGCGGCCGGCUGGGCCGAUCCUGACGCUGAGGCGCGAAGGCGUGGGGAGCGAACGGGAUUAGAUACCCCGGUAGUCCACGCGGUAAACGAUGCGGACUAGGCGUGGGGGGAGUUGACCCCCUCCGUGCCGGAGCUAACGCGGGAAGUCCGCCGCCUGGGGAGUACGGCCGCAAGGCUA